RNAcentral lists this ribosomal RNA (841 nucleotides) under uncultured beta proteobacterium. RNAcentral's name for it is "bacterial SSU rRNA". It matches the Rfam family "Bacterial small subunit ribosomal RNA", at positions 8 to 844 of the family's 1533-position model. The record is from RNAcentral. Lineage: Bacteria; Pseudomonadati; Pseudomonadota; Betaproteobacteria.
AGGGUUUGAUCCUGGCUCAGAUUGAACGCUGGCGGAAUGCUUUACACAUGCAAGUCGAGCGGCAGCGCGGGGCAACCUGGCGGCGAGCGGCGAACGGGUGAGUAAUGCAUCGGAACAUGUCCAAUUGUGGGGGAUAGCCCGGCGAAAGCCGGAUUAAUACCGCAUGAGCCCGAGAGGGGAAAGUGGGGGACUCGCAAGAGCCUCACGCGAUUGGGUUGGCCGAUGUCCGAUUAGCUAGUUGGCGGGGUAAAGGCCCACCAAGGCGAUGAUCGGUAGCUGGUCUGAGAGGAUGAUCAGCCACACUGGGACUGAGACACGGCCCAGACUCCUACGGGAGGCAGCAGUGGAGAAUUUUGGACAAUGGGGGCAACCCUGAUCCAGCCAUUCCGCGUGAGUGAAGAAGGCCUUCGGGUUGUAAAGCUCUUUUGUCCGGAACGAAACGGGUAAGGCUAAUACCUUUGCCUACUGACGGUACCGGAAGAAUAAGCACCGGCUAACUACGUGCCAGCAGCCGCGGUAAUACGUAGGGUGCGAGCGUUAAUCGGAAUUACUGGGCGUAAAGCGUGCGCAGGCGGUUUUGUAAGCCAGAUGUGAAAUCCCCGGGCUCAACCUGGGAAUGGCAUUUGGGACUGCAAGGCUUGAGUGCGGCAGAGGAGACUGGAAUUCCUGGUGUAGCAGUGAAAUGCGUAGAAAUCAGGAGGAAUACCGAUGGCGAAGGCAGGUCUCUGGGCUGACACUGACGCUCAUGCACGAAAGCGUGGGGAGCAAACAGGAUUAGAUACCCUGGUAGUCCACGCCCUAAACGAUGUCGACUGGUUGUUGGGGGUUUGACACUCUCAGU